GACGAACGCUGGCGGCGCGCUUAACACAUGCAAGUCGAGCGAUGAAAUUUCGACAGAUCCCUUCGGGGUGAAGAUGAAAUGGAUUAGCGGCGGACGGGUGAGUAACACGUUAGUAACCUGCCUGUGACAUUGGGAUAGCCUCGGGAAACUGGGAUUAAUACCAAAUGACACUAACUGAUCACAUGAUCAAUUAGUCAAAGAAAUUCGGUCAAAGAUGGACUCGCGGCUGAUUAGCUAGUUGGUGAGGUAACGACACACAAAGGCGGCAACCAGUAGCCGGGCUGGGAGGGUGGUCGGUCACAUUGGCACUGAGACACGGUCCAGACUCCUACGCGAGGCAGCAGUGGGUAAUAGUGCACAAUGGGGGAAAUCCUGAUGCGGUGCCGCCGCGUGAGCGAAGAAGUCAUUCGGGUCGUAAAGCGCUUUUAAGAGGGCAGAUAUUGACGGUACCUCAUGAGAAAGCCCCGGCUAACUACGUG
This 479-nucleotide ribosomal RNA is filed under the name uncultured bacterium. Its description in RNAcentral is "partial 16S ribosomal RNA". It matches the Rfam family "Bacterial small subunit ribosomal RNA", at positions 28 to 507 of the family's 1533-position model. The record is from RNAcentral.